Molecule: ribosomal RNA, 526 nt
Filed under: uncultured bacterium
Lineage: Bacteria
Description: bacterial SSU rRNA
Rfam family: Bacterial small subunit ribosomal RNA
Source: RNAcentral
AAUAGAUACCCGGGUAGUCCACGCCGUAAACGAUGAGUGCUAAGUGUUAGAGGGUUUCCGCCCUUUAGUGCUGCAGCUAACGCAUUAAGCACUCCGCCUGGGGAGUACGGUCGCAAGACUGAAACUCAAAGGAAUUGACGGGGGCCCGCACAAGCGGUGGAGCAUGUGGUUUAAUUCGAAGCAACGCGAAGAACCUUACCAGGUCUUGACAUCCUCUGACAACUCUAGAGAUAGAGCGUUCCCCUUCGGGGGACAGAGUGACAGGUGGUGCAUGGUUGUCGUCAGCUCGUGUCGUGAGAUGUUGGGUUAAGUCCCGCAACGAGCGCAACCCUUGAUCUUAGUUGCCAGCAUUCAGUUGGGCACUCUAAGGUGGCUGCCGGUGACAAACCGGAGGAAGGUGGGGAUGACGUCAAAUCAUCAUGCCCCUUAUGACCUGGGCUACACACGUGCUACAAUGGAUGGUACAAAGGGCUGCAAGACCGCGAGGUCAAGCCAAUCCCAUAAAACCAUUCUCAGUUCGGAUUGU